GAUGAACGCUGGCGGCGUGCUUAACACAUGCAAGUCGAACGGUGAAGGCGGAGCUUGCUCUGCUGGAUCAGUGGCGAACGGGUGAGUAACACGUGAGCAAUCUGCCCCUGACUCUGGGAUAAGCGCUGGAAACGGCGUCUAAUACUGGAUACGAGCUGCGAAGGCAUCUUCAGCAGCUGGAAAGAAUUUCGGUCAGGGAUGAGCUCGCGGCCUAUCAGCUUGUUGGUGAGGUAAUGGCUCACCAAGGCGUCGACGGGUAGCCGGCCUGAGAGGGUGACCGGCCAAACGGGGACGGAGAACCGGCCCAGACCCCUACGGGGGGGAGGGGGGGGGAAUUUGGCACAAGGGGGGAAAGCGUGAUGCAGCAACCCCGGGGGGGGGACGACGGCCCCGGGUUGGAAAACCUCUUUGGGCAGGAAAGAAGGGAAAGUGCCGGUACCUGCAAAAAAAGCCCCGGCUAACUACGU
Molecule: ribosomal RNA, 467 nt
Filed under: uncultured bacterium
Lineage: Bacteria
Description: partial 16S ribosomal RNA
Rfam family: Bacterial small subunit ribosomal RNA
Source: RNAcentral